RNAcentral lists this long non-coding RNA (1506 nucleotides) under Triticum aestivum (bread wheat). RNAcentral describes it as "long non-coding RNA (TAES_LNC016151)". The record is from RNAcentral. Lineage: Eukaryota; Viridiplantae; Streptophyta; Magnoliopsida; Poales; Poaceae.
UCACAAGUACUAAUCAACAUUGCUCAUGCCAUAAUAUAUUCAUUCCUGCAAGUCUACAUACAAUUCGGCAAAAGGAAGGCAUACAUCCAAGUGGACGAGGCAUGUUAGGAAACGGAAAAGAUUAACCUGCCAUGGCAAUCAUUUAAAACAGAACCUCGCCGCAAUACUUGCAUGUCUGGAAGGUUGACUACGCUGAUACCGACAAGUAAAAACAAUAUUAGAAAUCAUUCAAAACACAACAAAAAUGGCAUCGCUUCAUAUAGCUCAAGUAAGCUACCAAGACACUGUUUUGGUCCUUCAGAGAGGAAAUGCAGAAGCUUUGCGACUUGAUGCAUUGAUAGAAGCACGCACAACCCUCUGAGUAAGCGCCCCCAUGAACAUGACUACAAAAAGAAAUGCACCCAUUGUGCUGUCAAAAAUAAAGAAAAUUCAUGAGGCCGGAACGAAAAGACGCAAAUCAGAACUCAAACUCGAGGCACUCACAUCCUUGUUUGUGAACUGGAUAGGUCAAGGUCGGUCACGGCUUUACUGGUCAAGGCCCACUGCCUAACCAAACCCUAGCUCGCAGGAGUAAAUGUGUGCUAGAGCGUCCGGAAGGGUGAGACGGAGAUUGCUGGCCUUUGCUGCUAUACCCUGUAAAAACAAGGGGUGACUACAAGCAUGGUGGCAAGUGGCAACAUAAGGAGAUUGUGAGGGCUGGCAGAGCCAAGUCCUAGAUCAUUGAGUUCUCGUUGGUUUAAGUUACAUGCAGCACAUGCGGGUGGAGAUUGUUAGGGAGGAGGGUGGAGCAAGGAAGGUUUGAGAUUUCAGGCUCAAUAAAUCUUGAUAUCGCUUGUACAUUUUUAAUGGAGUGGUCCAUCACAUGGUUCCCAACAUUCCAUGUUUCCACUGAAUGUGGUUUCGAUGUGAUAAUCUUAAGAGGAAAAAAACAACAUCAUAGAACCUAUUUUUAAGUACUCAGAGGACCAUAAUAUCACAGUGCAACAUUUGGCUACCGUACAACAUUUACAUCUACUUAGAGCAAUAAAAUAUGACCUUGAGACAAAGAAACCAUUCAUCUGAACAUAAUAAGCAAAUAAUUGUACCUGCCACUUUUCUCUGUCUUCUAUAAAGAGCUCCAUGUAGAGUAACCCCAACACCUGAUGCUAUAUGCACUCUACCUAUUGUAGAUAGAGAAGAAUACACAUAGCAAUCCCAGCACCUCGCUAAUCAAAUUUCAUCUGAACCAGAUAACAAGAAUCCUGCCAGCACAAAUGAUUUAGGAUACUCCUUUUGAAAUUGCAAUAGCAUGCUAAUAGGAAAAUUAUUUAAAAUACCAAUACCUUCAAACAAGAUAAUAAAGAUGAAAAAUAUAUUGAUUUCAAAACUUCAUGGUCAUCUGAGUCCUAUUAAGAGUCAUGUGUCUGCUACACAAAUUACCGGAAAGACCCAGACACCCAGCAAGAUUACACUCACAAAAGACAGGUGCAGUAAAAGCACGUGUUUGAGUUACAUUCGAAUCCCACC